RNAcentral lists this ribosomal RNA (1327 nucleotides) under Pristomyrmex punctatus. Its description in RNAcentral is "16S rRNA". Lineage: Eukaryota; Metazoa; Arthropoda; Insecta; Hymenoptera; Formicidae. The record is from RNAcentral.
GUAACAAAGUAAAUGUAUAGGAAUAUGCAUUUAGAUAAAUAUUAAAAUUUUAAGGUUAAUUUAUUUAAUAUUGGAUGAAUUAGAAUUAUUAUAUUUAAAGUUAUAUAAAAUUAAAUGAAGUUAUAAAUUAUUUUGAGAAAAUUAAUAAAAUUAUAUAUAGAGUAAUGUAGAUGAAAAUUUAGUUAAUAAAUAAAAGUAAAUUUAAUUAAUUGUACCUUUAGUAUCAGGGAUUAUUAAAAAUAAAUUUAUGAAUUGUAAAUUUUUCGAAUUUAAUAGAGCUAAUAAUUUAUGAUAGUUAAUGUUGAAUAAUUAUUAUUAAUAGAUUGUUUGAUGAUAUAUUCAAUUCGUAUUUAAUGAUAUCUAAGUUUUUAAGUGUAAAAUUUAAUUUGAAAUUUAUUUAGAAAUUUAUUUUAUUUAAAAAUAAAUAAUUUUUUGUAAAUAUGAAAAUUUAUGGGAUAAUCUAUAAAUUAAUGAAUUAAAAUUGAUUUAUUUAUAUUAAAGUAUUAUAAUAAUAAUAUUUAAAAAAUUUUAAAUAUUGUAGAAAAAAUUUAAUAAUUUAUAUAUAUAAAGAUAUAAAAAUUUUUAACAUUAGAUAGAUUUAAUUAAUUUAAAAAUAUUAAUUUAAAUAAGUUUAAUUGAGUAAUAAUGAUAAUAUAAGUAAAAAUAAAUUAAUGUAAUAAUAUUUAAUUAAAGAUUUAUAUUAAUUAAAGGAAUUAGGCAAAUAUUUAAAUUCAUCUGUUUAAUAAAAACAUAGUUUUUAGAUAAUAAUAAAAAAUAUUUUCUGCUCUAUGACAAUAAUAGUUAAAUGGCUGCAGUAUAUUGACUGUACAAAGGUAGCAUAAUAAAUUGUCUUUUAAAUGAAGACUUGUAUGAAUGGAUAAAUGAAAUUUAAACUGUCUCUAAUUAAAAAUUUGAAUUUAUUUUUUAAGUAAAAAAACUUAAAUAAAAUUAUGGGACGAGAAGACCCUAUAGAAUUUUAUAUAUUUUAAUUAAAUAUAUAUUAUAAUUGAAGAUAUAUUUAGUUGGGAGGAUUGUUAAAUUAAAAAAACUUUAAUUAAUUAAAAAUAUUAAUAAAUAAAUUAUUAGAAUGAUUAAUAAAUUAAAAAAGAAUUAAUUACCUUAGGGAUAACAGCAUAAUAUUUUUAGAAAGAUCAUAUUAAUAAAAAUGAUUGUGACCUCGAUGUUGAAUUAAGAUAAAAUUUAAAUGUAGAAGUUUAAACUUUAAGUCUGUUCGACUUUUAAAAUCUUACAUGAUUUGAGUUUAAAUCGGCGUGAGCCAGAUUGGAUUCUAUCUAUAAUAAAUUUUAAUAAGUUUGUACGAAAGGAC